Molecule: long non-coding RNA, 1321 nt
Filed under: Ursus maritimus (polar bear)
Lineage: Eukaryota; Metazoa; Chordata; Mammalia; Carnivora; Ursidae
Description: lncRNA (ENSUMAG00000003351.1)
Source: RNAcentral
AUUUCACUGAGUUCUUACUGUGGAUCGCAGCCCACGGGAUCUAUGGUCCUUUUCUAUCCAGGCUCAGCACCUAUGCAUUCAAGAUUGGAAGUAGAGACACAAGUCACUUCACAGUCCAGAAAGCUAUUAUUGUUUCUGUUUCAGUAUGAGGGAGUCACAGACUUUGGGACAGGAUUCGGAGCAGGGUUAUUAUGGAUCCUGGAUCUCUACUUCAAUGUUCAUUACCUGGAUCAAUUUGGCUAAUAGGUUCCCUGUGGAUUGGCUUGCUUCCAAGCACAUACAUGGAAGAUGCAAAGGUGGGUGGGCCUGGUGCGGGACAGGAAGAAGACCAAAAACAGAAAAGGGUCCGACCCCUCCGCUUUCCAGGACCUGCUUCGGGAGAGGGUACGGGAGGUAGAAUCCAUGCAAAACUCCAAGAUCACCAGCUGAACACAAGAGGCAUAGAUCAAGGGAACUGGAGAUGCAGGGGUUGAAGGAUGCCCUGAGCUAUCCCUGGGAGGAAGGGAGGGAAGGAAUGAGAAGGAGACCCUGACUGCCCCUGGCCCAUUCCAGCUGCCCACCGCUCCGACACACAUCCGUCUACACAGCUGACACAGCCUGGGCUCAGGAUGGGCUGGCUCGGGUCCCUCAAUCCUCAGUGGGAUAGCUGUCCCCAGGGCUCACAGACAUGCUGAGAGAAAUGAGAGGGAAAGCUGCCCCACCCAGGUCAUCCCCUCCUUGAGAAGACAGCCCUUCAGAACUGCUAAAAAAAAAACCCCACUAAAGACAUGCCAUGGAUGAACUAAGGCAUAGAGAUAUGUAAAAUAACAUUCACUUUUAAGUUCAGAGCUGUCAUCUCAGGAAGUGGGGAGAGCUUCCCUGAAGAAGACUGAGGGGAGGGCAGGCCAUGCUGAAAAGGGAGACAUGGCUCUCCUGAUUGGGGACCUGCAGCCCCCUUCCAGGGCAGGACAUCAUCCUCGCAUCACACGAGAUCCAUCAGGGCCAGAUGUUUGUCUCGAGAAGGCUACCCUGGCAUCGGACUGCACAGGGCACCAGGGACGAGGGCCAGAUGGAGGACGGACAAUACCCCGGAGGCCAUGGGGCAAGAGCAGAGGCACACGACCUUGAAGAUGAUGAUGAAAAGCAGGAGGUGGCAGCAUGGAGCCGGCCCGAAAGUGCCAUGGGAGCAGUGCCCACAGCUACACUGACGGUGCCUUCUGUGCCAGGUGUGGCUGACUUCAGUGGGCUCCAGACUAGUCCUGACCACAAGUCUAGGAAGUAUGCACCACCCCCGGCCUCCUCUCCCCUUGCAGCUACUAGGAAUCAAGGCCACAGACCCUAG